GGUUAAGCGACUAAGCGUACACGGUGGAUGCCCUGGCAGUCAGAGGCGAUGAAGGGCGUGCUAAUCUGCGAUAAGCGCCGGUAAGGUGAUAUGAACCGUUAUAACCGGCGAUACCCGAAUGGGGAAACCCAGUGUGACUCGUCACACUAUCAUUAACUGAAUCCAUAGGUUAAUGAGGCGAACCGGGGGAACUGAAACAUCUAAGUACCCCGAGGAAAAGAAAUCAACCGAGAUUCCCCCAGUAGCGGCGAGCGAACGGGGAGGAGCCCAGAGCCUGAAUCAGCAUGUGUGUUAGUGGAAGCGUCUGGAAAGGCGCGCGAUACAGGGUGACAGCCCCGUACACAAAAGCGCAUGUGCUGUGAGCUCGAUGAGUAGGGCGGGACACGUGGUAUCCUGUCUGAAUAUGGGGGGACCAUCCUCCAAGGCUAAAUACUCCUGACUGACCGAUAGUGAACCAGUACCGUGAGGGAAAGGCGAAAAGAACCCCGGCGAGGGGAGUGAAAAAGAACCUGAAACCGUGUACGUACAAGCAGUGGGAGCCCCACCACUAAGCCAGUGGUGAACUCCACAUACGCAUCCUUUGCUGAAGGCAAUGGUUAACGGAGCGAAAGCGACGUUCAACCGCAAAACAAGCAGAGGGGGCUUAGUGGUGGGGUGACUGCGUACCUUUUGUAUAAUGGGUCAGCGACUUAUAUUCUGUAGCAAGGUUAACCGUAUAGGGGAGCCGGAGGGAAACCGAGUCUUAAU
RNAcentral lists this ribosomal RNA (747 nucleotides) under Salmonella enterica subsp. enterica serovar Thompson. Its description in RNAcentral is "partial 23S ribosomal RNA". It matches the Rfam family "Bacterial large subunit ribosomal RNA", at positions 1 to 688 of the family's 2925-position model. The record is from RNAcentral. Lineage: Bacteria; Pseudomonadati; Pseudomonadota; Gammaproteobacteria; Enterobacterales; Enterobacteriaceae. RNAcentral also lists the same sequence under 1 other name.